GCACCCUUGGUGUAGUGGUAACAUAAUUGCCUUCCAAGCAAUUGCCCUGGGUUCGAUUCCCGGAGGGUGCA
This is a transfer RNA of Fistulifera solaris, 71 nucleotides long. It matches the Rfam family "tRNA". From Rfam's summary of the family: Transfer RNA (tRNA) molecules are approximately 80 nucleotides in length. Their secondary structure includes four short double-helical elements and three loops (D, anti-codon, and T loops). The record is from Rfam. NCBI's taxonomy places the organism in Eukaryota, Bacillariophyta, Bacillariophyceae, Naviculales, Stauroneidaceae.